Triticum urartu is the source of this 128-nucleotide non-coding RNA. Lineage: Eukaryota; Viridiplantae; Streptophyta; Magnoliopsida; Poales; Poaceae. The record is from Rfam.
GUAGUAUUCCCUCCGUCCCAAAAUUCUUGUCUUAGAUUUGUCUAAAUAUGGAUGCAUCAAGUCACAUUCUAGUGUUGGAUACAUCCGUAUCUAGACUAAUCUAAGACAAGAAUUUUGGGACGGACGUA